RNAcentral lists this ribosomal RNA (293 nucleotides) under uncultured bacterium. RNAcentral describes it as "partial 16S ribosomal RNA". It matches the Rfam family "Bacterial small subunit ribosomal RNA", at positions 505 to 796 of the family's 1533-position model. The record is from RNAcentral.
GUGCCAGCCGCCGCGGUAAGACAGAGGCCCCGAGCGUUAGUCGGAAUCACUGGGCUUAAAGGGUGCGUAGGCGGACUUGUAAGUGCUUUGUGAAAGCCCCGGGCUCAACCCGGGAACCGCAGGGCAUACUGCAAGUCUUAGAGGAAGCUAGAGGCGGGUAGAACGAUCGGUGGAGCGGUGGAAUGCGUAGAGAUCGAUCGGAAUGCCAAGGGUGAAGACAACCCGCUGGGGCUUUCCUGACGCUGAGGCACGAAAGCGUGGGGAUCAAACAGGAUUAGAAACCCUUGUAGUCC